AUCCUUCUGAGUUCAGAAGAAAUGAUGAAUCGGGUUAUCACGUACUGAUACGUGAGACAUGUCGCCGUUAACCUUGUUACGACAUACGACAUGACACCCUGUCUGAUU
Molecule: small nucleolar RNA, 108 nt
Organism: Octopus sinensis (East Asian common octopus)
Lineage: Eukaryota; Metazoa; Mollusca; Cephalopoda; Octopoda; Octopodidae
Product: small nucleolar RNA U13
Exons: 1
Source: RefSeq, a predicted model, not a curated record